Molecule: ribosomal RNA, 2895 nt
Filed under: Escherichia coli
Lineage: Bacteria; Pseudomonadati; Pseudomonadota; Gammaproteobacteria; Enterobacterales; Enterobacteriaceae
Description: bacterial LSU rRNA
Rfam family: Bacterial large subunit ribosomal RNA
Source: RNAcentral
ACUAAGCGUACACGGUGGAUGCCCUGGCAGUCAGAGGCGAUGAAGGACGUGCUAAUCUGCGAUAAGCGUCGGUAAGGUGAUAUGAACCGUUAUAACCGGCGAUUUCCGAAUGGGGAAACCCAGUGUGAUUCGUCACACUAUCAUUAACUGAAUCCAUAGGUUAAUGAGGCGAACCGGGGGAACUGAAACAUCUAAGUACCCCGAGGAAAAGAAAUCAACCGAGAUUCCCCCAGUAGCGGCGAGCGAACGGGGAGGAGCCCAGAGCCUGAAUCAGUGUGUGUGUUAGUGGAAGCGUCUGGAAAGGCGCGCGAUACAGGGUGACAGCCCCGUACACAAAAAUGCACAUGCUGUGAGCUCGAUGAGUAGGGCGGGACACGUGGUAUCCUGUCUGAAUAUGGGGGGACCAUCCUCCAAGGCUAAAUACUCCUGACUGACCGAUAGUGAACCAGUACCGUGAGGGAAAGGCGAAAAGAACCCCGGCGAGGGGAGUGAAAAAGAACCUGAAACCGUGUACGUACAAGCAGUGGGAGCACAGAGCAAUCUGUGUGACUGCGUACCUUUUGUAUAAUGGGUCAGCGACUUAUAUUCUGUAGCAAGGUUAACCGAAUAGGGGAGCCGAAGGGAAACCGAGUCUUAACUGGGCGUUAAGUUGCAGGGUAUAGACCCGAAACCCGGUGAUCUAGCCAUGGGCAGGUUGAAGGUUGGGUAACACUAACUGGAGGACCGAACCGACUAAUGUUGAAAAAUUAGCGGAUGACUUGUGGCUGGGGGUGAAAGGCCAAUCAAACCGGGAGAUAGCUGGUUCUCCCCGAAAGCUAUUUAGGUAGCGCCUCGUGAAUUCAUCUCCGGGGGUAGAGCACUGUUUCGGCAAGGGGGUCAUCCCGACUUACCAACCCGAUGCAAACUGCGAAUACCGGAGAAUGUUAUCACGGGAGACACACGGCGGGUGCUAACGUCCGUCGUGAAGAGGGAAACAACCCAGACCGCCAGCUAAGGUCCCAAAGUCAUGGUUAAGUGGGAAACGAUGUGGGAAGGCCCAGACAGCCAGGAUGUUGGCUUAGAAGCAGCCAUCAUUUAAAGAAAGCGUAAUAGCUCACUGGUCGAGUCGGCCUGCGCGGAAGAUGUAACGGGGCUAAACCAUGCACCGAAGCUGCGGCAGCGACGCUUAUGCGUUGUUGGGUAGGGGAGCGUUCUGUAAGCCUGUGAAGGUGUGCUGUGAGGCAUGCUGGAGGUAUCAGAAGUGCGAAUGCUGACAUAAGUAACGAUAAAGCGGGUGAAAAGCCCGCUCGCCGGAAGACCAAGGGUUCCUGUCCAACGUUAAUCGGGGCAGGGUGAGUCGACCCCUAAGGCGAGGCCGAAAGGCGUAGUCGAUGGGAAACAGGUUAAUAUUCCUGUACUUGGUGUUACUGCGAAGGGGGGACGGAGAAGGCUAUGUUGGCCGGGCGACGGUUGUCCCGGUUUAAGCGUGUAGGCUGGUUUUCCAGGCAAAUCCGGAAAAUCAAGGCUGAGGCGUGAUGACGAGGCACUACGGUGCUGAAGCAACAAAUGCCCUGCUUCCAGGAAAAGCCUCUAAGCAUCAGGUAACAUCAAAUCGUACCCCAAACCGACACAGGUGGUCAGGUAGAGAAUACCAAGGCGCUUGAGAGAACUCGGGUGAAGGAACUAGGCAAAAUGGUGCCGUAACUUCGGGAGAAGGCACGCUGAUAUGUAGGUGAAGUCCCUCGCGGAUGGAGCUGAAAUCAGUCGAAGAUACCAGCUGGCUGCAACUGUUUAUUAAAAACACAGCACUGUGCAAACACGAAAGUGGACGUAUACGGUGUGACGCCUGCCCGGUGCCGGAAGGUUAAUUGAUGGGGUUAGCGCAAGCGAAGCUCUUGAUCGAAGCCCCGGUAAACGGCGGCCGUAACUAUAACGGUCCUAAGGUAGCGAAAUUCCUUGUCGGGUAAGUUCCGACCUGCACGAAUGGCGUAAUGAUGGCCAGGCUGUCUCCACCCGAGACUCAGUGAAAUUGAACUCGCUGUGAAGAUGCAGUGUACCCGCGGCAAGACGGAAAGACCCCGUGAACCUUUACUAUAGCUUGACACUGAACAUUGAGCCUUGAUGUGUAGGAUAGGUGGGAGGCUUUGAAGUGUGGACGCCAGUCUGCAUGGAGCCGACCUUGAAAUACCACCCUUUAAUGUUUGAUGUUCUAACGUUGACCCGUAAUCCGGGUUGCGGACAGUGUCUGGUGGGUAGUUUGACUGGGGCGGUCUCCUCCUAAAGAGUAACGGAGGAGCACGAAGGUUGGCUAAUCCUGGUCGGACAUCAGGAGGUUAGUGCAAUGGCAUAAGCCAGCUUGACUGCGAGCGUGACGGCGCGAGCAGGUGCGAAAGCAGGUCAUAGUGAUCCGGUGGUUCUGAAUGGAAGGGCCAUCGCUCAACGGAUAAAAGGUACUCCGGGGAUAACAGGCUGAUACCGCCCAAGAGUUCAUAUCGACGGCGGUGUUUGGCACCUCGAUGUCGGCUCAUCACAUCCUGGGGCUGAAGUAGGUCCCAAGGGUAUGGCUGUUCGCCAUUUAAAGUGGUACGCGAGCUGGGUUUAGAACGUCGUGAGACAGUUCGGUCCCUAUCUGCCGUGGGCGCUGGAGAAUUGAGGGGGGCUGCUCCUAGUACGAGAGGACCGGAGUGGACGCAUCACUGGUGUUCGGGUUGUCAUGCCAAUGGCACUGCCCGGUAGCUAAAUGCGGAAGAGAUAAGUGCUGAAAGCAUCUAAGCACGAAACUUGCCCCGAGAUGAGUUCUCCCUGACUCCUUGAGAGUCCUGAAGGAACGUUGAAGACGACGACGUUGAUAGGCCGGGUGUGUAAGCGCAGCGAUGCGUUGAGCUAACCGGUACUAAUGAACCGUGAGGCUUAACC